Molecule: ribosomal RNA, 253 nt
Filed under: uncultured bacterium
Lineage: Bacteria
Description: partial 16S ribosomal RNA
Rfam family: Bacterial small subunit ribosomal RNA
Source: RNAcentral
GACAGAGGUGCCGAGCGUUAGGCGGAAUCACUGGGCUUAAAGCGUGUGUAGGCGGACCGUUAAGUACCUUGUGAAAUCCCACGGCUCAACCGUGGAACGGCUGGGUAUACUGGCGGUCUUGAGCCACCUAGGGGCAGAUGGAACAGACGGAGGAGCGGUGAAAUGCGUAGAUAUCGUCUGGAACGCCAAUGGUGAAAACAGUCUGCUGGGGGUGUGCUGACGCUGAGACACGAAAGCCAGGGGAGCAAACGGG